This 1861-nucleotide unclassified non-coding RNA is filed under the name uncultured fungus. RNAcentral describes it as "sequence contains 18S rRNA gene, ITS1, 5.8S rRNA gene, ITS2, 28S rRNA gene". The stretch from base 885 to 1861 matches the Rfam family "Eukaryotic large subunit ribosomal RNA", at positions 1 to 961 of the family's 3401-position model. The record is from RNAcentral. Lineage: Eukaryota; Fungi.
GGAAGGAUCAUUACUGAACCAACACCGUCCACCUUCUUGUAGUGGACCAUUCAAAGGCCUGUCAUGGGAAUUUGAUGAUGAUCAACUCGGCUCGUUGCCCAACAUUGGGUGAUGGGUGCCUUCUUGAUUUUGAUGCUCAUUUACCAGGUUGGAUUGAAACGCUCAUCACUUAGUGCCUACAUGCGGCAGACCUGUGUGGGAUGGGUGCCUUUUUCAAGAGGUUGAAGUUGGUCAGAUGUCGUGGUGGCAGGCCUUUGGGGUCUCCUAUGAAUUUCUUUUUCACCACACAGAACUGUCGUGUUGCCCCUAAACAUAUAAUAUAACUUUCAACAACGGAUCUCUUGGCUCUCGCAUCGAUGAAGAACGCAGCGAAAUGCGAUAAGUAAUGUGAAUUGCAGAAUUCAGUGAAUCAUCGAAUCUUUGAACGCACCUUGCGCUCCUUGGCAUUCCGAGGAGCAUGCCUGUUUGAGCGUCGUUGAAUUCUCAGAAUCCUACCCGAUCUUUCUGGUGGUCCACCGAACAAUGUGCCGCUCCAGGAUCACCCAGGCCACCUGAAAGGGUGGAGGCACCUCUUCGGUGUACAUUACGGUCUUGAAAGAUUCGGAAGGGAGGUGGUAACUGGCAGCAAAACAAUCACGUUUUGGCCCAGAGCCAGCCGUUGGUGUAAAUGCUGGCGGAUGGUUGGGGGUGCUGGUCUACUACUUCCCAUCAGGGGGAUGUGGAUUGUGGAGGAUGCAAGGCUGCCUUUGCUUUGCUUCUCUGAAAUGGAUUGGCAUUAUGGCUGCGGUCACAAACCUGUUGUUGGUAUGAUACCUGUGUCCUACCCACAUCUAACCUGUGCCAGCCAAGGCCAUACGAGACAAAAGUCUUUAACUCAAAUGAUUUGACCUCAAAUCAGGCAGGACUACCCGCUGAACUUAAGCAUAUCAAUAAGCGGAGGAAAAGAAACUAACAAGGAUUCCCCUAGUAACUGCGAGUGAAGCGGGAAGAGCUCAAAUUUAAAAUCUGGCGGCCAGUGGUCGUCCGAGUUGUAAGCUAGAGAAGCGCCGUCCGCGCUGGGGCCGUGUGCAAGUCUCCUGGAACGGAGCGUCGUGGAGGGUGAGAACCCCGUCUGUGACACGGACUCCCAGGGCAUCGCGAUCGCGCCCUCAAAGAGUCGAGUUGUUUGGGAAUGCAGCUCCAAAUGGGUGGUAAACUCCAUCUAAAGCUAAACACUGGCGAGAGACCGAUAGCGAACAAGUACCGUGAGGGAAAGAUGAAAAGAACUUUGGAAAGAGAGUUAAACAGUACGUGAAAUUGUUGAAAGGGAAACGCUUGAAGUCAGUCGCGUCGGCCAGGGAUCAGCCCCGCAACCGCGAGGUGCACUCCCCGGUCGACGGGUCAGCACCAGUCUCGACCGCUGGAGAAAGGUCGGGGGAAUGUGGCAUCCUUGGAUGUGCUUAUAGCCCCCGAUCGCAUGCAACGGUCGGGAUUGAGGAACUCGGUGCGCCGCAAGGCCGGGUCUCAGACCACGUCCGCGCCCAGGAUGCUGGCACAAUGGCUUUAAUCGACCCGUCUUGAAACACGGACCAAGGAGUCUAACAUGCCUGCGAGUGUUUGGGUGGAAAACCCAUGCGCGCAAUGAAAGUGAAAGUUGAGAUCCCCGUCGUGGGGAGCAUCGACGCCCGGACCAGACCUGCUGCGACGGAUCCGCGGUGGAGCAUGCAUGUUGGGACCCGAAAGAUGGUGAACUAUGCCUGAAUAGGGCGAAGCCAGAGGAAACUCUGGUGGAGGCUCGUAGCGAUUCUGACGUGCAAAUCGAUCGUCGAAUUUGGGUAUAGGGGCGAAAGACUAAUCGAACCAUCUAGUAGCUGGUUCCUGC